ACGAAAUUAACUUCGUGAUGUCCGGUGAUGCAAUUUGCAAUUUGGCGGUUAAUCUGAGGAUUCCCAAGUUGAUCAAGUUCACUUCGAACUGAUCCGUGGAAGAGGCAGGAGUGGCCCAAAGUUCUCGCGCCGUGGUGUCUUGUAAUAGUUGUAGCUAUCAGUAAUUGUGUGUGCUAUUGUGAAAAGGCGGUGUGUUAUCGUGUGUGGCUUCGUGCAAUUAAAGGUUUCUUGCCAAGCCGUUAAUCCGUCCGUGGCACCGCAACCGAACUCCCAGUGGCCAUUUCUGACCCCACUGUCAGGCUCAGAAGUUCUCCCGGGACACGCCGGAAGAGGGACGCUUCCGUUUUUCUACGCUCCCUAGGCAGGACGAAUCAGCAAGCGCAAUCGCAUUUCCGUUCCCCUAGUGACGACUAGGGAAACCUCGACGCACGUGUCGCGUCGCGCGCAAAUCGAGUAAGUUUCCGAUGUUCGAGUGAACCGACCGCCAACCAGCAGCAGAAAGGCAAGCAGCCUACCCCCGGCGGCAACAGAGCUUCAUCGCCGAACGAGAGAGCAGCAGCGAAUUCACCGCCACCCCCUUUCCGUUCAUCCGGCGGCGGCAACAUCGUCACCGAAGAAGGUCUGUGAGUACCCACCCAUUUAACAUUCAUGCGCAUGACAAGUUAAUUCACGCCGCAACAUAGCUUACGUUGCGUGGCGUGCACGGCCGUUUUUAUAAGACCGUGAAUUGAACAUUCCGUGAAUCGAAAACCCGUUGCGUUCGCAGGGCGAACGAGA
This is a long non-coding RNA of Armigeres subalbatus, 777 nucleotides long. RefSeq lists it as uncharacterized. Lineage: Eukaryota; Metazoa; Arthropoda; Insecta; Diptera; Culicidae. The transcript has 3 exons. The record is from RefSeq and is a predicted model, not a curated record.